Molecule: small RNA, 267 nt
Filed under: Microtus ochrogaster (prairie vole)
Lineage: Eukaryota; Metazoa; Chordata; Mammalia; Rodentia; Cricetidae
Description: 7SK RNA (ENSMOCG00000010282.1)
Rfam family: 7SK RNA
About the family: 7SK was discovered as an abundant small nuclear RNA in the mid-70s but a possible function has only recently been suggested. Two independent studies have found that 7SK RNA binds the CDK9/cyclin T complex (known as elongation factor P-TEFb).
Source: RNAcentral
UGAUGCGAGGGUGAUCUGGAUGUAACAUCUGUUACCCCAUUGAUUGCCAGAGUUGAUUCGGCUAAUCUGGCUGGCUAGGCAGAUGUCCCCUUCCCCCCUCACUGCUCCCUGUGCAUCCCUUCUGAAGCUGCAUGCUCAGUUGAAAAUGAAGACCUUCCCUGAAUAGAGGAGGACCAGUCUUCAGUUAAGAGUAUACCAGUAGCUGCACUCCCCUGCUAGAACCUCCAAACAAGCUCUCAAGAGUAGCCAUUGUUCUUAACCAUCUCU